RNAcentral lists this ribosomal RNA (406 nucleotides) under uncultured bacterium. RNAcentral's name for it is "partial 16S ribosomal RNA". It matches the Rfam family "Bacterial small subunit ribosomal RNA", at positions 30 to 526 of the family's 1533-position model. The record is from RNAcentral.
AUUGAACGCUGGCGGCAUGCCUAACACAUGCAAGUCGAGCGAGCGGCGGACGGGUGAGUAAUGUCUAGGAAUGUGCCUGGUAGUGGGGGAUAACUACCGGAAACGGUAGCUAAUACCGCAUACUCUCAGAUGGGCCCAUAUGGGAUUAGCUAGUUGGUGGGGUAACGGCUCACCUAGGCGACGAUCCCUAGCUGGUCUGAGAGGAUGACCAGCCACACUGGGACUGAGACACGGUCCAGACUCCUACGGGAGGCAGCAGUGGGGAAUAUUGCACAAUGGGCGAAAGCCUGAUCCAGCCAUGCCGCGUGUGUGAAGAAGGCCUUCGGGUUGUAAAGCACUUUCAGCGGGGAGGCGUUACCCGCAGAAGAAGCACCGGCUAACUCCGUGCCAGCAGCCGCGGUAAUAC